RNAcentral lists this ribosomal RNA (666 nucleotides) under Alexandrium tamarense. RNAcentral describes it as "eukaryotic LSU rRNA". It matches the Rfam family "Eukaryotic large subunit ribosomal RNA", at positions 43 to 651 of the family's 3401-position model. The record is from RNAcentral. Lineage: Eukaryota; Dinophyceae; Gonyaulacales; Pyrocystaceae.
UAAGUAAGUGGUGGAAAUUAAACCAAAUGGGAUAUCUUUAGUAACUGCGAAUGAACAAGGAUAUGCUUAGCUUGACAAAUGGAGCUAUUGGCUUUGAAUUGUAUUGUGGAAAUGUAUUACCAACAGAGGUGCAGGUGCCAGCCCAUUGAAAUAAAGCGUCAAUGAGGGUGAGAAUCCUGUUUGUCAUGUGCAGCCCUUUGUGCACGGUGUAUAUCUGCUGCGUCACACUCCUUGGCAUUGGAAUGCAAAGUGGGUGGUAAGUUUCAUGUAAAGGUAAACAUGCAAUUGAGACUGAUAGCACACAAGUACCAUGAGGGAAAUAUGAAAAGGACUUUGAAAAGAGAAUUAAAUGAGUUUGUAUUUGCUGAACACAAAGUAAACAGACUUGAUUUGCUUGGUGGGAGUGUUGCACUUGCUUGACAAGAGCUUUGGGCUGUGGGUGUAAUGAUUCUUUCUUUGCAUGCCAGUUUCUAUUUGUACAUCUGAUUACCUUUGCACAUGAAUGAUAAGUCUCCUGUGGGGGGUGGAUUGCAUGUGCAUGUAAUGAUUUGUGUUUUGAUAAAUGUGUCUGGUGUAUGUGUGUGUUCCUGUGCUUGGGGAUGCUUCCUUCCUUGGACUUACAAGCCCUGACACACACAUGCUGGCAAAAUGCUUCUGCUUGACCCG